UAUACAUUGCCGAGUGAAUAAUUCCAAAUCGGAGCAAGCUCCUGUCCACAUAGGCGCGGUAUCCUUAGUCUGACCGGCUUUGUGGUCAAACAAUACUCUAGAGCAAGAUGCAGUACUGAAUUUCCUCUCAUUUUGCACUAAGAAACUUGUUUUGAGAAUAUUUUUUAAGUCUGUUAAUUAACCUUUUAUUUAGCCUGCCCCCUAAGAAUUCAAUACCAAAAGCCAGGCAUCUUGCUGGAGACCCCCCACAGACUCAAACAGACAAUCUUCAAGCCUCAGCCUCCCAAGUGCUGGCUUUUUGUACUUGUGGGUCUUGCGGUAGACAUUACAUACCAUAAAAUGUAGCCAUUUCGAUUUUAAGAACUGUGUGUUCAUUCCCUCCCUCUAGCCCUCUUCGCACACCGGCGUGGUGUGUGUGUGUGUGUUUUCUGUGUUUUUCUCUGCCUCCCCCAAAUUAGGCUCAGAAAUCCUGAAACAGAUGCUGGGAGAAUCUUUGAUUAUAAUAUCUGGUCCCUACUAAACAAUAAAGUCACUAAUCAUCUUUCUGACUAGUAAAUUAACUCUGGAUAGGUCUCUAGGUGGAGACUAAUCAUUUUACAGACCAAGCCAUAAGUGGAAAAUUGAGAUUUACAGCCCCUCUCAUCUUCUGGGAAAGAAAAUGGGGUUCCCACAAUCAAGCAAUCCAAAAAAUAUCCCUGAAUUUUGAGGAUGGGAAAACCUCCAAAUUGCAUUACUCAUCUUCAGGAAUCUGGAAGUGGGAUAGAAGCAGAGAGACAGCCUCGGGGAACUGUUUUUCUCUGUCUCCUUGACUUUGUUAGGCACUCUGAUCUAUCUAUGGAUUGAGACAGUUCAGUCCCCUUUCAUGGUUGUUUCUAGACUUCAGAACCUUUUCCUUAAAGAAGCUGGUUCAUUUAGGUCUCUGGUGACCUCUAACCUAAAAGGAUCCCUCCGGUGAUGGACUAUAACCUAACGGGGUACCUCCUCCACACUAGCUGAGGGAGUGCAGAUCAGGGAACUGCCGCAGCUGCUCCCCAAGGCUGCUUCUCUGUGGGUCUCCCACUUCCAGAUGCCUGAAGAUGAGUAGCCUGAACUCAUCUGUCUUUUCCAUCUGCUGCUUCCAGCUGUGGUCAAAACAGUAUCCCAGUGGCCUCUGCUAAGAUCCUCUGGGUAAUUAUUUGGAAUCUUCAAAAACCUAACACUGGGUUCUGAUAAGAGUUCCAUGACCUUACUAGCAUCUGUAAACCUUGUCUGCGUGUAUGUGAAAAUGUCAACUGUGUUUCUAUUCAUGUUUGAAUGUGAACUUGAUUUUAUAUUCAGAACUUGUUCCUUAACAUUUAGUUCAUUAAAAAGUAACAUUAAAUAACACUGUAAAAAUUGA
Molecule: long non-coding RNA, 1378 nt
Organism: Mastomys coucha (southern multimammate mouse)
Lineage: Eukaryota; Metazoa; Chordata; Mammalia; Rodentia; Muridae
Exons: 2
Source: RefSeq, a predicted model, not a curated record